Molecule: ribosomal RNA, 393 nt
Filed under: uncultured bacterium
Lineage: Bacteria
Description: bacterial SSU rRNA
Rfam family: Bacterial small subunit ribosomal RNA
Source: RNAcentral
AAUCAACGCUGGCGGCGUGCCUCAGACAUGCAAGUCGAACGAUUAAGACUUCCUUCGGGAAGUGCAUAAAGUGGCGCACGGGUGAGUAACACGUAAGUAAUCUACCCUCGAGUGGGGAAUAACGUUCGGAAACGGACGCUAAUACCGCAUAACGCAGCGGCACCGCAAGGUGACAGUUGUUAAAGGAGCAAUCCGCUUGAGGAGGAGCUUGCGGCAGAUUAGCUAGUUGGUAAGGUAAUGGCUUACCAAGGCUACGAUCCGUAUCCGGUCUAAGAGGACGGUCGGACACACUGACACUGAAUAACGGGUCAGACUCCUACGGGAGGCAGCAGUCGGGAAUUUUGGGCAAUGGGCGAAAGCCUGACCGAGCGACGCCGCGUGAGCGAAGAAGGC